RNAcentral lists this unclassified non-coding RNA (53 nucleotides) under Sulfolobus acidocaldarius DSM 639. Its description in RNAcentral is "noncoding RNA Sac-sR1". The record is from RNAcentral. Lineage: Archaea; Thermoproteati; Thermoproteota; Thermoprotei; Sulfolobales; Sulfolobaceae.
CAGUUGAUGAGAAGUUAAAAAAGCGAUGGAUGAGCUUAACUCCCAUGGUCUGA